AUGAGAGCAGAACAUUUACCUGUUCUCUUUCACCUUCUCUCUCCCUCUCUGUCUCUCUCUCUCUCUCUCUCUCUCUCUCUCUCUGUCUUUCUCAGUUUCCUUUUCAGUGGAAUUGACAGCUUGCUAGUUACAUGGUUCUUCCUUUGGAUUUUACAAGUGGAACAUUUAGCCACAAGAGGGCAGCAUGGUGCAAUGAAAAGGUGCUCAGUUUUGGAGUUGUAUGAACUGAGUUCAAGUUCUGCUAUUCUCUCUGUGUUUGUCUUUGUAUUCCUGGUGCCUGGAACAGUGCCUUUCACCCACCCAGUAGUUACUUAA
This 315-nucleotide long non-coding RNA is filed under the name Monodelphis domestica (gray short-tailed opossum). Its description in RNAcentral is "lncRNA (ENSMODG00000038149.1)". The record is from RNAcentral. Lineage: Eukaryota; Metazoa; Chordata; Mammalia; Didelphimorphia; Didelphidae.